This 253-nucleotide ribosomal RNA is filed under the name uncultured bacterium. Its description in RNAcentral is "partial 16S ribosomal RNA". It matches the Rfam family "Bacterial small subunit ribosomal RNA", at positions 524 to 776 of the family's 1533-position model. The record is from RNAcentral.
UACGAAGGGGGCUAGCGUUGCUCGGAAUCACUGGGCGUAAAGCGCACGUAGGCGGACUCUUAAGUCGGUGGUGAAAUCCUGGAGCUCAACUCCAGAACUGCCUUCGAUACUGAGAGUCUCGAGUCCGGGAGAGGUGAGUGGAACUGCGAGUGUAGAGGUGAAAUUCGUAGAUAUUCGCAAGAACACCAGUGGCGAAGGCGGCUCUCUGGGACGGUACUGACGCUGAGACGCGAAAGCGUGGGGAGCGAACAGG